AUGCACGCUGGCGGCGUGCUUCACACCUGCAAGUCGAACGAUGAAGCUCAGCUUGCUGGGUGGAUUAGUGGCGAACGGGUGAGUAACACGUGAGUAACCUGCCCUUAACUCUGGGAUAAGCCUGGGAAACUAGGUCUAAUACCGGAUAGGAGCGCCUACCGCAUGGUGGGUGUUGGAAAAAUUUAUCGGUUUUGGAUGGACUCGCGGCCUAUCAGCUUGUUGGUGAGGUAAUGGCUCACCAAGGCGACGACGGGUAGCCGGCCUGAGAGGGUGACCGGCCACACUGGGACUGAGACACGGCCCAGACUCCUACGGGAGGCAGCAGUGGGGAAUAUUGCACAAUGGGCGAAAGCCUGAUGCAGCGACGCCGCGUGAGGGAUGACGGCCUUCGGGUUGUAAACCUCUUUCAGUAGGGAAGAAGCGAAAGUGACGGUACCUGCAGAAGAAGCACCGGCUAACUACGUG
RNAcentral lists this ribosomal RNA (465 nucleotides) under uncultured bacterium. Its description in RNAcentral is "partial 16S ribosomal RNA". It matches the Rfam family "Bacterial small subunit ribosomal RNA", at positions 29 to 507 of the family's 1533-position model. The record is from RNAcentral.